CGGAGGGUGCAAGCGUUAUCCGGAUUCACUGGGUUUAAAGGGUGCGUAGGUGGCUUUGUAAGUCAGUGGUGAAAUCUCGGAGCUUAACUCCGAAACUGCCAUUGAUACUGCUUAGCUUGAAUCAAGUAGAGGUGGAUGGAAUAUUACAUGUAGCGGUGAAAUGCUUAGAUAUGUAAUAGAACACCGAUUGCGAAGGCAGUUCACUAUGCUUGUAUUGUCACUGAGGCACGAAAGCGUGGGGAUCAAACAGGAUUAGAUACCCUGGUAGUCCACGCCCUAAACGAUGUAAACUCGACAUCAGCGAUACACUGUUGGUGUCCAAGCGAAAGCGUUAAGUUUACCACCUGGGAAGUACGACCGCAAGGUUG
RNAcentral lists this ribosomal RNA (368 nucleotides) under uncultured organism. RNAcentral describes it as "bacterial SSU rRNA". It matches the Rfam family "Bacterial small subunit ribosomal RNA", at positions 526 to 896 of the family's 1533-position model. The record is from RNAcentral.